RNAcentral lists this long non-coding RNA (2121 nucleotides) under Coffea arabica (coffee). RNAcentral describes it as "long non-coding RNA (CARA_LNC008414)". Lineage: Eukaryota; Viridiplantae; Streptophyta; Magnoliopsida; Gentianales; Rubiaceae. The record is from RNAcentral.
UUCGCAGUUCGCACUUCACUUCACCGCUUCGGUCUUGGGGAAACGGCGUAGAUCAGUUUUGGUGUGGAUCAGUUUUGGGGAAACGGCGUAGAUGACCACUGGUUGGCGGUGCUCGUUGUCGACUGUGGGCUGAAGGGUGAUUGAGGUGGUGCGGCUGAGCGGGGUGAUUGAGGUGGUGCGGCUGAGCAGGGUGAUUGAGGUGGUGCGGCUGGUGCGGCUGAGCUGGUGCAACUCCAAUCUUGAAGCCUGAAGUUUUUCCGCCUGCUGCUCCGAUUCCAAGCCAAAAAAAAUUGUGGAAUUCAAGCUUAUCUACUAAUAGUGGAAGUCCAAACUCGUUCACACUUCACACCAUCUUCAUCAGCUUUUCUCGCAACCCUGUCUCAGGUAUUUUACUUCAUACACCUGCUGCGCUUCUAUCUUCUUUUUUCAAUACGAAUUGGUCUAUAAAAUCAACUCAUUUAUGCGGUACAAAGUAUACUAUUUUGCAUUUUUACUUACUAAGCUCGAAGACCUAAACUGUUUCAGUUUCGAUUAAUUUUGUCAAGCUCACAAUAAAUGAAAGAAAAUAAAAAUGGAGUUAUGGUCAAUGUAUUAAAAGGUCAGGCUCCCCAUUCAAGUCUUCAACUAACUUGCCAACACGUUCCACCUCUUCAUUGUCUCCUUAACAAAGUUCAGUUUUCAGUCAAUAAUCCAAUGAGAUUUAGAUAAAGCAAAAUCUCCAUAAUCAAAAGAUUAUGUGCAAGCCAUAAUAGAAACAUACAUUUUAAUAUGUAUCCCCACAAUCAAUGCACAUUGUGCAUUAUUUGGAUGCCAUUUACAUCUUAUAAUAACUCUAAAUGAUUAAUCAGCAUAUGAUAGUGAGGCUGUACGUUUAGCCUCCAUCAUGCAUAAAAUAAGUACACAUUUUCUUUAAUGCUGUCCCUCCAUGCAUGUAUAUAUCUAGCACUAGUCCGUUUGUCCUCGCAGUACAUUAUGAUCUAACACCCUAUACAGAAACAAAAGAGAAAAGAAGAUAUGGGACAAGGAAGCCCUUCAUCUGAGAAAAUGAAGCUGCUUAUUGCACUGCUCAUUUUGCAGUUGUGCUUUGCAGGAUUUCACAUUGUCUCUAGAGUUGCACUUAAUAUUGGUGUCAGCAAAAUUGUAUACCCAGUUUAUAGGAAUAUCAUUGCAUUGCUUCUACUAGGACCCUUUGCUUAUUUUAUGGAAAAGUGAGACUUCAAGUGUCCUAACACAGUUUGUCAUUUGAUAUCUCUUUUGGAAAAAAGAGUUCAAUUGAUAGUUCGAUUUUUCUUGUUCCAGGUACUGAUAUUCGGUAAUGAAAUUUGCAUGCGAAACAUGAUUCUAAUAAUAGUCUAAUAGUCUUAAGCUUCAUUUAUUUGGGAACUGAAACAUGAUUCUAAUAAUAGUCUAAUACAUACUGAUGCUUGACAAAGUUAACCCUGACCCCUGGAAGCUUCGAAAACCCAGACCAGAUUGUGUCAUUAGGCGUACGAAAAAUUUUGAAUAUCUGCAAAACAAAACGACAAUGAUCUUUAAGGCCACAGAGAAGAAAAUUAGCUUGAAAUCCAUACAAAAAUCUACAGUAACAUGACAGAUGAAAGUUAUUUGAUGUCUUUGAAAGUUAUUUGAUGUCUUUAAAUCUCUGUGCUAUUAUUUAAAAGUUAUUUGAUGUCUUUAAAUCUCUGUGCUAUUAUUUAAAAGUUAUUUGAUGUCUUUAAAUCUCUGUGCUAUUAUUUAAAAGUAUAUUUGAUGUCUUUAAAUCUCUGUGCUAUUAUUUAAAAGUAUAUUUGAUGUCUUUAAAUCUCUGUGCUAUUAUUUAAAAGUAUAUUUGAUGUCUUUAAAUCUCUGUGCAAAACCCAGUUACCAUGAAGAUACUUAACACCCUCAAGAAAUGCACAAGGCUUAGGGAAUUAACUUCACUCGUGCUAAACGGUUGUUAGCUUUAAUAAUUUGUUUCAGUUUGUGUAUAUUAAUUAUUUGUUAAGACUAGUUAUUUUUAAAUAUCUCAAUUUAGGAUGGAGGCUGGUAGCGGUAGUAACUCACAAUGUUCACCGGGGGGACCAUUCAAUAGUGAGGGAUCUGCAAGUCAGCCCCAAGGUCAUAGGCAAAAGACAGAUAUAG